UACGUAGGGGGCUAGCGUUGUCCGGAAUCAUUGGGCGUAAAGCGCGCGUAGGCGGCUACUUAAGUCGGAUGUGAAAGCCCCUUGGCUCAACUGAGGAAGUGCACCCGAAACUGAGUGGCUUGAGUACGAAAGAGGGUCGCGGAAUUCCCGGUGUAGAGGUGAAAUUCGUAGAUAUCGGGAGGAACACCGGUGGCGAAGGCGGCGACCUGGGUCGAUACUGACGCUGAUGCGCGAAAGCGUGGGGAGCAAACAGG
RNAcentral lists this ribosomal RNA (254 nucleotides) under uncultured bacterium. RNAcentral's name for it is "partial 16S ribosomal RNA". It matches the Rfam family "Bacterial small subunit ribosomal RNA", at positions 524 to 776 of the family's 1533-position model. The record is from RNAcentral.